CUACGGGAGGCAGCAGUGGGGAAUCUUGCACAAUGGAGGAAACUCUGAUGCAGCGAUGCCGCGUGAGUGAAGAAGGCCUUUGGGUUGUAAAGCUCUUUCGUCGGGGAAGAAAAUGACUGUACCCGAAUAAGAAGGUCCGGCUAACUUCGUGCCAGCAGCCGCGGUAAUACGAAGGGACCUAGCGUAGUUCGGAAUUACUGGGCUUAAAGAGUUCGUAGGUGGUUGAAAAAGUUAGUGGUGAAAUCCCAGAGCUUAACUCUGGAACUGCCAUUAAAACUUUUCAGCUAGAGUAUGAUAGAGGAAAGCAGAAUUUCUAGUGUAGAGGUGAAAUUCGUAGAUAUUAGAAAGAAUACCAAUUGCGAAGGCAGCUUUCUGGAUCAUUACUGACACUGAGGAACGAAAGCAUGGGUAGCGAAGAGGAUUAGAUACCCUCGUAGUCCAUGCCGUAAACGAUGUGUGUUAGACGUUGGAAAUUUAUUUUCAGUGUCGCAGGGAAACCGAUAAACACACCGCCUGGGGAGUACGACCGCAAGGUUAAAACUCAAAGGAAUUGACGGA
This 558-nucleotide ribosomal RNA is filed under the name uncultured bacterium. RNAcentral's name for it is "bacterial SSU rRNA". It matches the Rfam family "Bacterial small subunit ribosomal RNA", at positions 339 to 917 of the family's 1533-position model. The record is from RNAcentral.